Long non-coding RNA from Frankliniella occidentalis (western flower thrips), 358 nucleotides. RefSeq lists it as uncharacterized. Lineage: Eukaryota; Metazoa; Arthropoda; Insecta; Thysanoptera; Thripidae. The transcript has 3 exons. The record is from RefSeq and is a predicted model, not a curated record.
CGGAGGUUUUCAUAGCCAAUCACAGCCCUGAGAACCUCUGAGCUGCGCGAGCGCGAAUGAGGAAGGAAGGACGGCUCACGGGGAGGGGGAGACUAGAUCCACCAUUUGUUGUUAGUGAGCGGAGGAAGACCGUCUAUUAGUUGCAUCUGCCCUUGACAUCAGCUAAGCAGCCGUCAGCUGUCAUGCUGAGUCGUCGUCGCAGCACACAGCAUGAGAAAUGGACCCUUUUAUGAUCACAGGAAUGAAUCUGGUAUUCAGAUUCGCUACAAGUCACCAGCAGAAACAAGCCGGCUACUUGAGGAAGACUUUACUCUUAUAAUGUAAAUGAUUUAAAACAAUAAAGAAUUAAAAAUGACUA